UGGGGAAUAUUGCGCAAUGGGCGAAAGCCUGACGCAGCAACGCCGCGUGGGUGAUGAAGGCCUUCGGGUUGUAAAGCCCUGUCGCCUGGGACGAACAAGCUCGUGAAGAACGAGCUCUGACGGUACCAGGAGAGGAAGCACCGGCUAACUCUGUGCCAGCAGCCGCGGUAAUACAGAGGGUGCUAGCGUUGUUCGGAAUUAUUGGGCGUAAAGGGCGCGUAGGCGGCCUCGCAUGUCGAAUGUGAAAGCCCACCUCUUAAAGGUGGAAUUGCAUUCGAAACUGCAAGGCUGGAGUGCCGGAGAGGGUGGUGGAAUUCCUGGUGUAGAGGUGAAAUUCGUAGAUAUCAGGAGGAACACCGGUGGCGAAGGCGGCCACCUGGACGGUAACUGACGCUGAGGCGCGAAAGCGUGGGGAGCAAACAGG
RNAcentral lists this ribosomal RNA (424 nucleotides) under uncultured bacterium. RNAcentral's name for it is "bacterial SSU rRNA". It matches the Rfam family "Bacterial small subunit ribosomal RNA", at positions 355 to 776 of the family's 1533-position model. The record is from RNAcentral.